RNAcentral lists this unclassified non-coding RNA (352 nucleotides) under soil metagenome. RNAcentral describes it as "partial contains 5.8S ribosomal RNA, internal transcribed spacer 2, and large subunit ribosomal RNA". The stretch from base 1 to 120 matches the Rfam family "5.8S ribosomal RNA", at positions 35 to 154 of the family's 154-position model. The record is from RNAcentral.
GAUGAAGAACGUAGUGAAAUGCGAUAAGUAAUGUGAAUUGCAGAAUUCAGUGAAUCAUCGAAUCUUUGAACGCACAUUGCGCCCGCCAGUAUUCUGGCGGGCAUGCCUGUUCGAGCGUCAUUACAACCCUCAGGCCCCCGGGCCUGGCGUUGGGGAUCGGCGGAAGCCCCCUGCGGGCACAACGCCGUCCCCCAAAUACAGUGGCGGUCCCGCCGCAGCUUCCAUUGCGUAGUAGCUAACACCUCGCAACUGGAGAGCGGCGCGGCCACGCCGUAAAACACCCACUUCUGAAGGUUGACCUCGGAUCAGGUAGGAAUACCCGCUGAACUUAAGCAUAUCAAUAAGCGGAGGA